UGCCCCUUCAGUGGUUCCUCCACCUCCACAUCAAUGUCAUAGCACGCGGUCUUCUUCUGGUCUGAUGGGUCCACGCUGCCAGAGAAGCCCAGCCUUUGAUGUCCAUGGUAUACCCCCACGGAAGCCCAGGGCUGGGGAGGGGACACAGGGAGGGGAGCAGGGAGGGGAGCAGAGAGCUCCCUCUGUGGGGAAGGCUGGGCCACCUCACCUGAUGACAUGGUUGAUCACAAUGGGGUCAGGAGGAAGCAGCAGGCCUGUGAGACGCUGGGGAAUCUCAGAAAACUUCAGGCGGGGACAGUCAAAAAUCUGAAGCAGGAGAGUUGAGAGGGAGAUCAUUCGUGUGUGUGUGUGUGUGUGUGUGUGUGUGUGUGUGUGUGUGUGUGUAAAGACAGUAGCUAAUAAUAGUCCUUCCAUUCUGGAAAGACCACAAGAAGCUGAGGGCAAGUCAGAAUUCUGGGCGCUGAUGGCUGUGGGCUGGGCUGGAGGUAGAGAAGCAGGAUAAUUAGGGGGCCAGUGUGGGGUCCUAAGUCAGCCUGCUUGAGCGUUUGUCCCUUCUGCCACAUCCUGUGAGAAGUUACCUAGCACCUUGGGUCUUAGUGCCUUCACUUCCAGAAUAGGGAUAUUACCAACCCCAUCUCAUGGGUGGUUAUGAGAACCGGGUGAAUCUGCAGAGCAGGAAGUGUCUGAAGUGGUACAUGGUAAAUGCUCAAUAAACACCAGCUACUCUUUCUCCUC
Molecule: long non-coding RNA, 735 nt
Filed under: Rattus norvegicus (Norway rat)
Lineage: Eukaryota; Metazoa; Chordata; Mammalia; Rodentia; Muridae
Description: long non-coding RNA NONRATT021100
Source: RNAcentral